ACGGGAGGCAGCAGUGGGGAAUAUUGCACAAUGGGGGAAACCCUGAUGCAGCGACGCCGCGUGAGUGAAGAAGUAUUUCGGUAUGUAAAGCUCUAUCAGCAGGGAAGAUAAUGACGGUACCUGACUAAGAAGCACCGGCUAAAUACGUGCCAGCAGCCGCGGUAAUACGUAUGGUGCAAGCGUUAUCCGGAUUUACUGGGUGUAAAGGGAGCGUAGACGGCAUGGCAAGUCUGAAGUGAAAGCCUGGGGCUCAACCCCCAAACUGCAUUUGGAACUGUCAAGCUAGAGUAUCGGAGAGGUAAGUGGAAUUCCUAGUGUAGCGGUGAAAUGCGUAGAUAUUAGGAGGAACACCAGUGGCGAAGGCGGCUUGCUGGACGAUAACUGACGUUGAGGCUCGAAAGCGUGGGGAGCAAACAGGAUUAGAUACCCUGGUA
This 434-nucleotide ribosomal RNA is filed under the name uncultured Clostridium sp. RNAcentral's name for it is "partial 16S ribosomal RNA". It matches the Rfam family "Bacterial small subunit ribosomal RNA", at positions 341 to 792 of the family's 1533-position model. The record is from RNAcentral. Lineage: Bacteria; Bacillati; Bacillota; Clostridia; Eubacteriales; Clostridiaceae.